AACGAACGCUGGCGGCAGGCUUAACACAUGCGAGUCGAACGAGAUCUUCGGAUCUAGUGGCAGACGGGUGAGGAACACGUGGGAACAUCCCUUUCAGUUCGGAAUAACGUUGGGAAACUAACGCUAAUACCGGAUACGUCCUUCGGGAGAAAGAUUUAUCGCUGAAAGAUUGGCCCGCGUCUGAUUAGCUAGUUGGUGGGGUAACGGCUCACCAAGGCUACGAUCAGUAGCUGAUCUGAGAGGAUGAUCAGCCACAUUGGGACUGAGACACGGCCCAAACUCCUACGGGAGGCAGCAGUGGGGAAUAUUGGACAAUGGGCGCAAGCCUGAUCCAGCCAUGCCGCGUGAGUGAUGACGGCCUUCGGGUUGUAAAGCUCUUUUGUCCGGGAAGAUAAUGACUGUACCGGAAGAAUAAGCCCCGGCAAACUUCGUGCCAGCCGCCGCGGUAA
RNAcentral lists this ribosomal RNA (449 nucleotides) under uncultured bacterium. RNAcentral's name for it is "partial 16S ribosomal RNA". It matches the Rfam family "Bacterial small subunit ribosomal RNA", at positions 29 to 523 of the family's 1533-position model. The record is from RNAcentral.